Non-coding RNA from Chinchilla lanigera (long-tailed chinchilla), 470 nucleotides. Lineage: Eukaryota; Metazoa; Chordata; Mammalia; Rodentia; Chinchillidae. The record is from the annotation of a RefSeq genome assembly.
CAGCUGUGCACGCCCAGGAUUUGCACUUGUUGAUCAGGCCUGAGCACCCACGGCCCAUCAUGGAGCUCUGGCUGAGCUGGGUUUUCCUUGUUGCUGUUUUAAAAGGUGUCCGGUGUGAAGUGCAGCUGGUGGAGUCUGGCGGAGGCUUGGUGCAAGCUGGCGGGUCCCUGAGACUCUCCUGUGCAGCCUCUGGAUUCACCUUCAGUAACUACUGGAUGGACUGGGUCCGCCAGGCUCCAGGAAAGGGUCUUGAUUGGGUUGGGAGAAUUAACCAUAAUAGUGGUACCACAAACUACGCAGGCUCUGUGAAGGGCCGAUUCACCAUCUCCAGAGACAACGCCAAGAACACGCUGUAUCUGCAAAUGACCCAACUGAAAACCGAGGACACGGCCGUGUAUUACUGUACAACACACAGUGAUGAGAUGUCAGGGUGAGCCCAGACACAAACCUCUUUGCAAGGCAGCUCAGGA